Molecule: non-coding RNA, 31 nt
Filed under: Homo sapiens (human)
Lineage: Eukaryota; Metazoa; Chordata; Mammalia; Primates; Hominidae
Source: RNAcentral
AGGAAGUUUACCAGGAAAUAGAGCUCUCAGG